Long non-coding RNA from Gordionus sp. m RMFG-2023, 293 nucleotides. RefSeq lists it as uncharacterized. NCBI's taxonomy places the organism in Eukaryota, Metazoa, Nematomorpha, Gordioida, Chordodea, Parachordodidae. The transcript has 3 exons. The record is from RefSeq and is a predicted model, not a curated record.
GUAUUUUAACAUAUUCUCUAAAUAUACAAGCCAUAAACAUAAGAGACUUUUAGACAGGAGAUGGACUGAUCAUUCGGAAAUACCUUAUUUCAUUUAUGAGGAUUUUAGGCUAUUGAUGAAUAAUGAUUCAGUCGAAGCUAUUGAUCUUUUGUUCAAAAUGCAUUAUCAAUUACAUUAUAUUAGAUAUUCCGUAUUGAUUUAUUUUGCUGAGCGAUUUUUAUAAAGAUUCACUGCCGAUGAUUACACUUUAUAUCUUGUUUCAAUAAAUUGUCACCCUUUGACCCAAGUUAUUG